This is a long non-coding RNA of Phyllostomus discolor (pale spear-nosed bat), 395 nucleotides long. RefSeq lists it as uncharacterized. The transcript is spliced from 2 exons. The record is from RefSeq and is a predicted model, not a curated record. NCBI's taxonomy places the organism in Eukaryota, Metazoa, Chordata, Mammalia, Chiroptera, Phyllostomidae.
CAAUGUUAUAAUAUAUCACCUUUCAUUCCAGGAAAAAUGCUUUGCAAGAAUUGCUAGAGAAAAGAUCAAUACCCAAUUGUGGCUCAGGUGAGGGGAAUAAAAAUGGAAUAAUUGCCGCUGAAGAUUAUUAACCUUGAACACAUUUCCUGAGUUUUUUUUCUUGUGAAACUUUGAAAAAUGAAGAGAAUUAAGCUGUUUCUAAAAAGCCAAAGCAGCCUGCCAUCUCUUUUUCUUUUCUGGGCUACGGUCCAAUUUGCACAGCAGUUGCAAAGAAAAAGCAAACGCAUCACUAGAUUCAGCGAGAAAUAUUGUAACAGUAUGUAAUCUCUGUCAAGAUAAAAUUGCUUUGUGAUUUACAUUACAAUAAAUCCUGACCUUUAAGUGCUGCAGACUAA